Molecule: long non-coding RNA, 1011 nt
Organism: Heteronotia binoei (common prickly gecko)
Lineage: Eukaryota; Metazoa; Chordata; Lepidosauria; Squamata; Gekkonidae
Exons: 4
Source: RefSeq, a predicted model, not a curated record
CACGAGCUGCCGAGGCUGUGUCGUUCCUUGCACACGGGAGCCACGUCUGGGGGAUCAAAGUCGCCGCAACCCGGCGCGCGCCGCCACCCAGGGACAACAUGCGUGUCUGCGCGGGAAGCAGAACAGAAAGAGCAGCGACGUCCACCCCCGAGCCCCGCUAAGGGACGCAGGAACCCGGUGGCCCAACUCAGGGCUCGAAAGCACCGCCGGUCUCCAACCCAGCACACGCUGCGAGCGCCGCCAUCUUGCUUGUGACGUGCUCCUGGCGACUGGGUGAUUGAUGGAACUUCAGAACGGGAAGCCCUCCCUCGCAUGCGCAUUCACUCAGGGGCGUGGUGAGAAAUGAAUUAUGGCUUGGAAAAACCGAGCGUCGAGGGAGGGCGGACGGGCGGGGCAAUGCUCCCAGGGUUUCCCCGCGCCUUAUUGCUGCGGGGUUCGCUGGAGGGAAGCUGCUUGUUCCAGUUCCUGAGACAUUUGUUGUUUGAGGGGGAAUUUUUUUGAAACGGACGUUUCUGCGUGAAACUUAAGGUCAUCGUCUUCUCUCGCUCAGCAGUUUGUGUUCCCCUUCGCGGCCUUCGAAGUUCCGCUCUGCACAUUCAGUGAAGUUUGUAGAUAGAGAGGAAGACGCCAGACGGGCAAUCCGCUGACAUGCCGAUGUUUGUUUAUUCAUUUUAACGUAAUUUAUACCCUGCCUUUCUCCCCCGAAUUGGCUUACAUUGCCCUCCAUUUUAUCUUUACAACUCUGGGAGGAGUUAAUAUAAAAUGGAUCGCUAUCAAUUUUUUCCAAGAUGGGGAGCCAAGUCGCUAUAUACCUGGAGUAAGCCUGGUGAAGGAUCAAGUAUUCGAAGUUCGUCACUGGGCGGGAAAGUGACACUUUCAACUUGGUGUCUUGAAGCCGAGUGCAAAGAAAUGCACUUGCCCCGUAGAACAGCUUUCAUUGCAUCCCAAACUAUUUCGGUGGAGACCCCACACUUAGAAUUGUUUUCAAAAUAAAGAUUGAUCUCUUGUUCA